GACGUAGGGCGCGAGCGUUGUCCGGAUUUAUUGGGCGUAAAGAGCUCGUAGGCGGCUUGUCGCGUCGACCGUGAAAACUUGGGGCUCAACCCCAAGCCUGCGGUCGAUACGGGCAGGCUAGAGUUCGGUAGGGGAGACUGGAAUUCCUGGUGUAGCGGUGAAAUGCGCAGAUAUCAGGAGGAACACCGGUGGCGAAGGCGGGUCUCUGGGCUGACACUGACGCUCAUGCACGAAAGCGUGGGGAGCGAACAGG
Molecule: ribosomal RNA, 253 nt
Filed under: uncultured bacterium
Lineage: Bacteria
Description: partial 16S ribosomal RNA
Rfam family: Bacterial small subunit ribosomal RNA
Source: RNAcentral